This 465-nucleotide ribosomal RNA is filed under the name uncultured bacterium. RNAcentral's name for it is "partial 16S ribosomal RNA". It matches the Rfam family "Bacterial small subunit ribosomal RNA", at positions 28 to 507 of the family's 1533-position model. The record is from RNAcentral.
GACGAACGCUGGCGGCGUGCUUAACACAUGCAAGUCGAACGGAAAGGCCCUCCUGUGGGGUACUCGUGUGGCGACCGGGUGAGUAAUACGAGAGUAAUCUACCCUUGACUUUGGGAUAAUAUCAGGAAAAUGGGGCUAAUACCGGAUAGGAGCUCCUGCUGCAUGGUGGGGGGUGGAAAGUUUCGGCGGUGGGGGAUGGACUCGCGGCGUUUCAGCGUGUUGGUGGGGUAGUGGCUCAUAAAGGCUUUGACGGGUGGCGGCCCUGCGAGGGGGAUCGGCCACAAUGGGACAGAGAGACGGCCCAGAGACCUACGGGAGGCAGCAGUGGGGGGAAUAGCGCAAUAGGCGGAGGCCUGAGACGGCGACGCCGCGUGCGGGAUAACGGCCUUCGGGUGGUAUACCGCGUUCUCCUGUGAGGAAGCGUGUGUGACAGUAAAAUGUGAAGAAGCACCGGGUAACUACGUG